This 468-nucleotide ribosomal RNA is filed under the name uncultured bacterium. Its description in RNAcentral is "partial 16S ribosomal RNA". It matches the Rfam family "Bacterial small subunit ribosomal RNA", at positions 28 to 507 of the family's 1533-position model. The record is from RNAcentral.
GACGAACGCUGGCGGCGUGCUUAACACAUGCAAGUCGAACGGAAAGGCCCUGCUUUUGUGGGGUGCUCGAGUGGCGAACGGGUGAGUAACACGUGAGUAACCUGCCCUUGACUUUGGGAUAACUUCAGGAAACUGGGGCUAAUACCGGAUAGGAGCUCCUGCUGCAUGGUGGGGGUUGGAAAGUUUCGGCGGUUGGGGAUGGACUCGCGGCUUAUCAGCUUGUUGGUGGGGUAGUGGCUUACCAAGGCUUUGACGGGUAGCCGGCCUGAGAGGGUGACCGGCCACAAUGGGACUGAGGUACGGCCCAGACUCCUACGGGAGGCAGCAGUGGGAAGUAUUGCACAAUGGGCGGAAGCCUGAUGCAGCAACGCCGCGUGCGGGAUGACGGCCUUCGGGUUGUAAACCGCUUUCGCCUGUGACGAAGCGUGAGUGACGGUAAUGGGUAAAGAAGCACCGGCUAACUACGUG